AUUGAACGCUGGCGGCAGGCCUAACACAUGCAAGUCGAGCGGAUGAAGGGAGCUUGCUCCUGGAUUCAGCGGCGGACGGGUGAGUAAUGCCUAGGAAUCUGCCUGGUAGUGGGGGAUAACGUCCGGGAACGGGCGCUAAUACCGCAUACGUCCUGAGGGAGAAAGUGGGGGAUCUUCGGACCUCACGCUAUCAGAUGAGCCUAGGUCGGAUUAGCUAGUUGGUGGGGUAAAGGCCUACCAAGGCGACGAUCCGUAACUGGUCUGAGAGGAUGAUCAGUCACACUGGAACUGAGACACGGUCCAGACUCCUACGGGAGGCAGCAGUGGGGAAUAUUGGACAAUGGGCGAAAGCCUGAUCCAGCCAUGCCGCGUGUGUGAAGAAGGUCUUCGGGUUGUAAAGCACUUUAAGUUGGGAAGAAGGGCAGUAAGUUAAUACCUUGCUGUUUUGACGUUACCAACAGAAUAAGCACCGGCUAACUUCGU
Molecule: ribosomal RNA, 483 nt
Filed under: uncultured bacterium
Lineage: Bacteria
Description: partial 16S ribosomal RNA
Rfam family: Bacterial small subunit ribosomal RNA
Source: RNAcentral